GCUUGACUGUAUCUUGGAAUUGGGUUCGGCUUUUCUUGCGCAGACUAGGUGGGAGGCUAUGAAGAUUUUCUUCUGGGAAGUUGGAGCCAACAGUGAGAGACCACUCUGGAAAGGCUAAGAAUCCUAAUGGUGAUCCUUGAAUCAGUGACACUUGACAGUUUCAGGUGGGCAGUUUUUCUGGGGCGGAAGCCUCAUAAAAGGUAACUGAGGCGCGCAAAGGUCCCCUCAGUCUGGACGGAAAUCAGACAUUGAGUGUAAAGGCAAAAAGGGGCUUGACUGCAAGACCCACAAGUCGAGCAGGGGCGAAAGCUGGCCUUAGUGAUCCGACGGUGCCGUGUGGAAGGGCCGUCGCUCAACGAAUAAAAGUUA
Molecule: ribosomal RNA, 369 nt
Filed under: uncultured alga
Lineage: Eukaryota
Description: bacterial LSU rRNA
Rfam family: Bacterial large subunit ribosomal RNA
Source: RNAcentral